AAAAAGCCAAUUGGUGAUUCAACUUCUGAGGGUGAAGUAUCAAAAGUUUCAAUUGGAGCCUGUAAACAAGAAGAUAUUAGCUCAGCCAAAAGCGAUAUAUUUGAUUCAGACAGUCCACAUUAUACUGAUGGGGUUCACUCUUCACUCUUAGAGGCCUGUGAUUCUUCAUAUGUUUUUGAACCAGACCAAUCUGAUUUAUCCCAAGAUGAAGAAGAUAAUUUAAGCAAGAGUCUAUGGCCUCCAUAUGUCUUUCCAAAGCUCGAAGAUGCUGAUUACUCUGAACCGCCUGCCAGUUUUGAAGAUCAAUCCUUCUGGUGCUGGUCAUACUAAAUUAUUCCUGGUAUAUGUGUAUCUUUGUUGUUUGUCUUCUGGUUCAAGGCUUCAUGGUAGGGGUGAUUGCAAAUAAGUAAUAAAUCCAAUGGACAUCCCAAUCCAAAUGUGAUACUGGGUUUUGCUUUGAUUCGGGAAGUUGGUUUUUACCCCUCUGUAAUCUUGAUUUUCUAAAGGGUUUUAGAGUUCAACGGAACUUUCAUGUACGGUUGUAAUUAAAUAAUAGCUUUUCAUUCUAU
Molecule: unclassified non-coding RNA, 569 nt
Filed under: Hevea brasiliensis (rubber tree)
Lineage: Eukaryota; Viridiplantae; Streptophyta; Magnoliopsida; Malpighiales; Euphorbiaceae
Source: RNAcentral